UUAAUUUGAGAGUUUGAUCCUGGCUCAGGACGAACGCUGGCGGCGUGCCUAAUACAUGCAAGUCGAACGAACUCUGGUAUUGAUUGGUGCUUGCAUCAUGAUUUACAUUUGAGUGAGUGGCGAACUGGUGAGUAACACGUGGGAAACCUGCCCAGAAGAGGGGGAUAACACCUGGAAACAGAUGCUAAUACCGCAUAACAACUUGGACCGCAUGGUCCGAGUUUGAAAGAUGGCUUCGGCUAUCACUUUUGGAUGGUCCCGCGGCGUAUUAGCUAGAUGGUGAGGUAACGGCUCACCAUGGCAAUGAUACGUAGCCGACCUGAGAGGGUAAUCGGCCACAUUGGGACUGAGACACGGCCCAAACUCCUACGGGAGGCAGCAGUAGGGAAUCUUCCACAAUGGACGAAAGUCUGAUGGAGCAACGCCGCGUGAGUGAAGAAGGGUUUCGGCUCGUAAAACUCUGUUGUUAAAGAAGAACAUAUCUGAGAGUAACUGUUCAGGUAUUGACGGUAUUUAACCAGAAAGCCACGGCUAACUACGUGCCAGCAGCCGCGGUAAUACGUAGGUGGCAAGCGUUGUCCGGAUUUAUUGGGCGUAAAGCGAGCGCAGGCGGUUUUUUAAGUCUGAUGUGAAAGCCUUCGGCUCAACCGAAGAAGUGCAUCGGAAACUGGGAAACUUGAGUGCAGAAGAGGACAGUGGAACUCCAUGUGUAGCGGUGAAAUGCGUAGAUAUAUGGAAGAACACCAGUGGCGAAGGCGGCUGUCUGGUCUGUAACUGACGCUGAGGCUCGAAAGUAUGGGUAGCAAACAGGAUUAGAUACCCUGGUAGUCCAUACCGUAAACGAUGAAUGCUAAGUGUUGGAGGGUUUCCGCCCUUCAGUGCUGCAGCUAACGCAUUAAGCAUUCCGCCUGGGGAGUACGGCCGCAAGGCUGAAACUCAAAGGAAUUGACGGGGGCCCGCACAAGCGGUGGAGCAUGUGGUUUAAUUCGAAGCUACGCGAAGAACCUUACCAGGUCUUGACAUACUAUGCAAAUCUAAGAGAUUAGACGUUCCCUUCGGGGACAUGGAUACAGGUGGUGCAUGGUUGUCGUCAGCUCGUGUCGUGAGAUGUUGGGUUAAGUCCCGCAACGAGCGCAACCCUUAUUAUCAGUUGCCAGCAUUAAGUUGGGCACUCUGGUGAGACUGCCGGUGACAAACCGGAGGAAGGUGGGGAUGACGUCAAAUCAUCAUGCCCCUUAUGACCUGGGCUACACACGUGCUACAAUGGAUGGUACAACGAGUUGCGAACUCGCGAGAGUAAGCUAAUCUCUUAAAGCCAUUCUCAGUUCGGAUUGUAGGCUGCAACUCGCCUACAUGAAGUCGGAAUCGCUAGUAAUCGCGGAUCAGCAUGCCGUGGUGAAUACGUUCCCGGGCCUUGUACACACCGCCCGUCACACCAUGAGAGUUUGUAACACCCAAAGUCGGUGGGGUAACCUUUUAGGAACCAGCCGCCUAAGGUGGGACAGAUGAUUAGGGUGAAGUCGUAACAAGGUAGCCGUAGGAGAACCUGCGGCUGGAUCACCUCCUUUCUAAGGAA
Molecule: ribosomal RNA, 1576 nt
Filed under: Lactiplantibacillus plantarum
Lineage: Bacteria; Bacillati; Bacillota; Bacilli; Lactobacillales; Lactobacillaceae
Description: Lactobacillus plantarum 16S ribosomal RNA
Rfam family: Bacterial small subunit ribosomal RNA
Source: RNAcentral